RNAcentral lists this ribosomal RNA (485 nucleotides) under uncultured bacterium. RNAcentral's name for it is "partial 16S ribosomal RNA". It matches the Rfam family "Bacterial small subunit ribosomal RNA", at positions 28 to 523 of the family's 1533-position model. The record is from RNAcentral.
GACGAACGCUGGCGGCGUGCUUAACACAUGCAAGUCGAACGGUGAAAGCGGAGCUUGCUCCGCUGGGUCAGUGGCGAACGGGUGAGUAACACGUGGGCAACCUGCCCCUCACUUCGGGAUAACUCCGGGAAACCGGGGCUAAUACCGGAUAUGACCUCCUUGGGCAUCCUUGGAGGUGGAAAGUUUUUCGGUGAGGGAUGGGCCCGCGGCCUAUCAGCUUGUUGGUGAGGUAGUGGCUCACCAAGGCGACGACGGGUAGCCGGCCUGAGAGGGCGACCGGCCACAGUGGGACUGGGACACGGCCCAGACUCCUACGGGAGGCAGCAGUGGGGAAUAUUGCGCAAUGGGCGAAAGCCUGACGCAGCAACGCCGCGUGCGGGAUGACGGCCUUCGGGUUGUAAACCGCUUUCAGCAGGGAAGAAGCCGCAAGGUGACGGUACCUGCAGAAGAAGCACCGGCUAACUACGUGCCAGCCGCCGCCGUAA